This 222-nucleotide ribosomal RNA is filed under the name uncultured bacterium. Its description in RNAcentral is "partial 16S ribosomal RNA". It matches the Rfam family "Bacterial small subunit ribosomal RNA", at positions 328 to 539 of the family's 1533-position model. The record is from RNAcentral.
ACGCUCGACACCUACGGAGGCAGCAGUAGGGAAUCUUCCACAAUGGACGCAAGUCUGAUGGAGCAACGCCGCGUGAGUGAAGAAGGUUUUCGGAUCGUAAAGCUCUGUUGUUGGUGAAGAAGGAUAGAGGUAGUAACUGGCCUUUAUUUGACGGUAAUCAACCAGAAAGUCACGGCUAACUACGUGCCGGCAGCCGCGGUAAUCUGAGCGGGCUGGCAAGGC